AAAAAACAUAAAUUCACUAAUAAUAUUAAAUCUUCAAGUAUUAAAAAUAAUCACAUGAGAGAUAGAACCUCAUUUAUGUAGAUCAGACAUGAAAUUUAUUGUUAUAGCCAAUAGAAUUCGCUAAUCUUUUAAUAAAUAAAAUAAGAGUUGCCUAAAUUUUUUGAAAAAUAAUGCUAAAGCAGAUGUAUUGGAUCUUCCUAUUUGAAGAUGAUAUUGACAAAAGAUAUAAAUCUUUCGAGCAACAACUGGAGUAUAAAAUAAUCUAUUUGGAUCUUUUAUGCCUAGACUAUUUUUCUAGGAACUUAUUGCAUACUAUGUACAUAGAUAAUUAAUUCAAGCCACUAUUCGUCAAUUGAGGAAUUAAGAAAUAGGCUACACUACCAUGCUUCAUUAGUAGA
RNAcentral lists this unclassified non-coding RNA (398 nucleotides) under Hevea brasiliensis (rubber tree). Lineage: Eukaryota; Viridiplantae; Streptophyta; Magnoliopsida; Malpighiales; Euphorbiaceae. The record is from RNAcentral.